GUCACUUCCUGUCAGAGGGCGGGGGGGGGCCCGCAAGAGGAGGAAGCCAUUUUGGAUUUAGGUUUCUCAGCGGCGUCUUAGUGCUUGGUUUUGAGGAAGUGAAACUGUGAGAGGACGGCCGGCAGCUUUUAUUUUCUGAGUUUCAGAAACGUUUGGAGACGUUUGGAGAGAGAAGCUUCAGAUGUUUUCGUCCUGAAGCUGUGGUUUCACUUCAGAUUCAAGAUGAGCGGAGAGCGAGUGCCGAGUCGAGCCGAGGUGACGGGAUGGAGCCCUCAGCAACUGGCAGAGUACCUGACCCGGAUGAGUCUGAGCGGCUGUGAUAAAGUGGUGUUGAAGAACUCCAUCAGCGGCUCCAGAUUUGUGAAUCUGAGCGAGAGCGAUCUGCAGAAGUUCCCCAAACUCUACGCUCCGUAAGUACAAAC
Long non-coding RNA from Notothenia coriiceps (black rockcod), 422 nucleotides. RefSeq lists it as uncharacterized. The record is from RefSeq and is a predicted model, not a curated record. NCBI's taxonomy places the organism in Eukaryota, Metazoa, Chordata, Actinopteri, Perciformes, Nototheniidae. The transcript has 3 exons.